GUUGGUGGGUUUGGGAUAGGGGAGGGUGAGGUAGCGACGGCGGAGGAAGAGGGGUCUAGGUUAGAGCGGCGGCCGGAGUAAGAGGGCGAGCGUGUGCGAGUUCGGCGAGCGGCGGUGGUGCGAGGAGGUGGAGGUCCGCUGCGGCUCGGGCGCCAGAGGGACGGGUUCUAGCACGGCCUCGGGCGCCAGUAGGAGGCGGAUGUCGAGCCGAGGGGAAGGUCUAGCGCGGCGGUGGAGGGAAGGGUGGGGGAGGACCUAGAGAGGGAGCCGCUCGGUGGCCGGACGUCUAGCAGGUGAAGGGUCAAGGGUCACGCACGUACCUGUCCGACUCCUCGCACCACGACGCGUCCACGUUCUCGGACAGCGCCCGCCAGCAGUAGCAGGAGGUCGAGGAUGUCGUUGGAGGCGAGGUACAGGCGGUCCCUGCUGCGGCGGCCGGUUCUGUUGUACCGCCGCCGGCUCCCCCGCAGCCGUCACCACAAGCACCCGUCGAGCGCCGCCGCCGUGCAGUAGUCGCGGUCCGUGGAGGCGGUGGGCGACUAGCGGCGCGAGUAGCUGCUGCUGCGGCCGCUACCGCUGUACUCCUUAUCGUUCCUCGGCCACCGGCACUCCACGCUCCAGCACGACAAGCUGGUGGACGAGACCUACGAACUGUUGCGGCAACUGGAGGCGCGCCCGCGGCCGCCGCUCCUGCUGCGGCAGUCCCUCGACCGGGUCGAGAUGCGGUGCACGAUCGGGUCAAUGUCCGUUGUCGUCUCCUGCUUAAGCCUUAAGCGAACACCCUAGAGUCUUACGAAUUCGUAGGUGAUGACGUACAGACGUGGCUAGACAAGGAUCUAUCACGAGUCCAGCUAGUCACACCAGUUGGCCUUCGUCGGCGUGCUGCCGCUACAGCAGGCCUAGCACUCGUGGUCCUCGUCUGGCGUCGAGCGGCGGUGUAAGGUCACGAUGUUCCUUGUUGUACCGUCACUGUAUCUUCUACAAAUAAUUAAUAGUGGAGAAAAACACAGAUUGAUUAUCAUCGUUAUAUGUCAUAUAGACAGUUCAUAGGCUAAGUGCCUGGUUGACCACUUGACUUCGCGAACAAGAACAACGACGACGACAACAACGUCCUGUACUUCGUCAUGUCGUCGUCGGUCAAACGUUCCUACGAGUUCUAACGACAGACCACGGAGUGUAGAGGACUUUUCGUGAAAAGUCUCCAUGCGGUGCUGUGCGUCUAGUUGGAGUGGGACGCGUGGGCGACCACCGACGUGACGUAGUGCGCGUCGGCGCUCACGCUGCGGUCCGAGCAGCACAGGUACCCCCUUGUCCACUUCACAGGUCGAUACGAAGAGUGACUGAUCAGUGUGACCGUUCAGCUUGCGCGUACCUCUCUGCUGGGAGCAAUGGUGAGACAUGCGACUAGAACUAAACGCUGACCCCACACGUCAUGCAGGCGUCCACGGUGCCUAGACCUCGGACUACAACGACGACUUCUCGUCUCGCUAAUCCGAGGGGGUUUUACUGUAGAUCUCCCGAAAUGAGUAGUCCCCCUCGAUCUACAUACUACAUGCUGUUGCCCUUACCCUGGACCACUCCUUUCCUUGGAUGACCCAGUUGGUCUAGCUCAGGGAAGAGAUGUACAACCAAAACGAGGGAACGUGUCGUCAUUUACGGAGAUGUUUGUACUAUGAUAUAUGUACGUACAGUAUCAGUCGUCAAUCGCAACCGUUACUUCACUUGGUACUCUAAUGUAAAACGAAACAGAACAACUAUUACGGUAUACAGAACGUUAGUCUGAAGUAAAGACAAACAAUACCAUUAUAAAAGUAUCACGAUAUCUUGUAGAUCAUUGUUCUUAUACUUUAACAUUUAUCGUUUUUUAAGAACAGAACACGCCAGAUUCAGGUUCCUUUAUUUUUUUUAAGAGAAUAUGUUAAAGUAGAUGUAGCUUAAAUAUAUAGUAUCACGGAAAAUAAAGAAAUCAAACUAACAAAGGGAACAUAAGUUAUACGAAGAUUACCGACUAGGAAUGUAAAAACUACACCGUAGAAAAAAAGUAUCCACAACACACAAAACAUAUCCUUGUGUUAAAAACAUAAGACAAAACAACAUAAAUACUAAACUAUCAAAACAUAUCCUUGUACACUAUGAUAAAACAUCCCGAAAUACCGGACACUACAUUUGUAUAAAUCACUACUUAAUACUUUAAUAAACGUUUUAAAUAACUUUUCCUCUUAGUAAACAUACUUAUACCCGCCGUAUAUACACUUACCCGACUUUUCACAUGACCUAGUUGAGGUUCUAACUUAAUAAUAAAAUGACAUAUUUUUCCGACUUACAUGUGGUCUUUUACCCGACAUGUUUUACCAUGGGUUUAAGAACUUUCCGGUUUGCACGUAUCUUCAACUACCCGAUUUGUGAUCCCGAACCGGGUACAUCGAUUGUUUUUAAUUGUCUUUAUUUAUAUGAUUUACCCAACUUAACAACCCGAACCGGGUCCAUUUUGUGGAUUAGCCUGCAUGG
Molecule: ribosomal RNA, 2508 nt
Filed under: Triticum aestivum (bread wheat)
Lineage: Eukaryota; Viridiplantae; Streptophyta; Magnoliopsida; Poales; Poaceae
Description: partial small subunit ribosomal RNA
Source: RNAcentral